This is a long non-coding RNA of Harpia harpyja (harpy eagle), 764 nucleotides long. RefSeq lists it as uncharacterized. The transcript is spliced from 3 exons. The record is from RefSeq and is a predicted model, not a curated record. NCBI's taxonomy places the organism in Eukaryota, Metazoa, Chordata, Aves, Accipitriformes, Accipitridae.
CUGCAUGUGACUGCAGCUUUCUUCCUCUUUUGCUUACAGAAACUGUUCUCCAUUGCAGUAGCACCAGAAUAACAGAGGUUUCCCUUGCAUAAAAGAACCAGAAGCCCAAAGCUGCACUGCUGCUUAUGCUAGAAGAUGCUGGGAGCUGAAAAAAAAUGGUAUUGUUGGAAUCUGUUUGCCUGGGGUUUUAACCACCAAGUCUGAAGUUAACUUGGCCAAAUUUGCUAAAGCAUCCUUACAGCUUCAAUGCUUUUUCGAACCAACAGUUUCCAAUUCUGUUAAGGUCCACCUGACCAUUUAAGAGUUUCUGUAAUCUCUAUCUCCCAUGCACCAGAGUGCUUCCCAAGUAAAGAAACAGCAGGCCAGGCUUUGCAGAGCUGUCUUGUUCUGGUGCAAAGCCUGUGGACCUGUGCUGGAAUUUGCAGAAGCAGUUUUUGUCUCCUCUGAGUCUUGGCAACCUCAGGGAAGGCUACAACUUGAAUGAAUGAAGUCAUCCAUCAUCUAGCAGUGACUGGAGUAGGUUGAACUCAUUCCCAUUCUGCCUUUUGCUUCAGAAGCAGGAAAAAAGUAUGAAGGGUGUCCAGCAACAAGUUUCUUUCCUUCCCCAAGAUAAGCCGUUAGAGGACAAAUCAAACUGAACAGCAAGGAGUUGUUGGUAUUGUUUUCCACUUGGUUUCAACUUCUGCAGACAAAGCUAGAGCUGGAUUUCCUGCUACAACAUCUGUCUUACUGAAAUCUUUCCUAAUACAGAGAAAAACUACUGA